Molecule: unclassified non-coding RNA, 232 nt
Filed under: Hevea brasiliensis (rubber tree)
Lineage: Eukaryota; Viridiplantae; Streptophyta; Magnoliopsida; Malpighiales; Euphorbiaceae
Source: RNAcentral
AUGAAUUAUCCUUUUGAGUUCCGCAUUGUGCGUUAGAGAAAUUUGUUUUGACUUUUCUAUUUUUCUUAUCAUUUGGAGGAAAUUGGAAUACAUGAAAUUGAAACCAAAGCUAGGUAUGAUUAAUUUCUGAUUUUUCCAACUAUUGGAAACUUAUUACAUAUACAAGCCGCACCAGUGAAUAUUGAUGUAGAACUGGUCUCAAGCAGAAUUGAAUGGCAAAAAAUGAUCCAUA